AAGCUUGCCCUAGGUUGAAGGAGAAAGAGAAGAAGACCUUCUUCUUCUUCUUGGACUUCUCCUUCUACUUCUUCCUCUUUUCCUUCUUUUCUUUCUUCUCUUUCUUCUUCUUCUUUCCUUUCUUUCCUAGAGAGAGAGAGAAAGAGUGAGAGAGAGAGUUGGAGAGCAAUGAGGGAAAGAGAGGGAUCCCCCACCUCUAAUAAAGGCCAUUUUGCAGUUAGCCCCCUCAACUUUUCAUCCUUUGAAUCAGCCCUCUCUGGGCAUUUUCGCAGUGAGGGAUCGGUCCCAGCUCGGGAAGACCGGUCCCCGAAGGCUGCCACUUCGAGCAGAGGGGAUUUCGCGUUCGGGAACCGGUCCUUACCUGAGAGACCGGUCCCCGGGAGACCGGUCCUUGUCCGAGAGACCGGUUCCCGAGAGCUGCAUUCUCGGGACUUAGCCAAAUUUGGCUAAGUCUCGCCAGGCCAACGUUCGGGAACCGGUCCCUGCCCACCAGGGACCGGUCUCAUCAGAGACCUCCGCAACC
Molecule: long non-coding RNA, 523 nt
Filed under: Ananas comosus (pineapple)
Lineage: Eukaryota; Viridiplantae; Streptophyta; Magnoliopsida; Poales; Bromeliaceae
Description: long non-coding RNA (ACOM_LNC010101)
Source: RNAcentral